GAACACAAAAUGGCGACACGUGGUUAGCAUUCGUCGCCAACGAGAAAUUGGGGUCGGCCCGAAAGCUCUAGAAUGCACCCCUCUUCCUCCCCGGGGCCUUCCACCUCCGCGAGUUUUAUGACUUAAAAAAGCCCACAGGCUGGUCUGAAGAGGAAGACAAACAUAAAGAUGAAGUGCUUAAUUCAAGGUCACACAAUGUCGGGGAUGGACCUCCAGAUUUCCUUACUGACCUGCAUUAUCUUGUGGAUACCUGAGUGAAUUCCACACCACCCAUUUUAUAGAUGAAACCACUGAGACAUGGAGCAAUUGACUGAGUAGUCACUGCCCCACCCCUGCCUGGAGCCUCACACAUGACUCGCCUCCUCUCAGUGACCACAGUACUUAUCCUGUAUUACAUGAAGGAAAUGAAAUAAAAAGACUGCAGCCCCACUCCCAGCUACUCAGUGAGGUGGUAGCUAGGUGAGACGUGGUCUUGUAACACAGUGGUUAAGAAUGUGACUUUGGAGCCAGCCUGCUAGGGGCUGAAUUCUGACUCAGCCAUUUACUAACUGUGUGACCUUAGGUGGAGUCUCACUCUGUAGCCCAAGCUGGAGUGGCGUGAUCUCGACUCACUGCAACCUCCGCCUCCUGGGAUCAAGUGAUUCUCGUGCCUCAGCCUCCUGAGUAGCCGGGACUACAGGUCACAGAAUUUUCCAC
Molecule: long non-coding RNA, 696 nt
Filed under: Homo sapiens (human)
Lineage: Eukaryota; Metazoa; Chordata; Mammalia; Primates; Hominidae
Description: PCBP1 antisense RNA 1
Source: RNAcentral